This 301-nucleotide ribosomal RNA is filed under the name uncultured bacterium. RNAcentral's name for it is "partial 16S ribosomal RNA". It matches the Rfam family "Bacterial small subunit ribosomal RNA", at positions 509 to 808 of the family's 1533-position model. The record is from RNAcentral.
CAGUCGCGCGGGAAUACGUAGGGCGCAAGCGUUGUCCGGAAUUAUUGGGCGUAAAGAGCUCGUAGGCGGUCUGUCGCGUCUGGUGUGAAAUCCCGAGGCUCAACCUCGGGCUUGCAUCGGGUACGGGCAGACUAGAGUGCGGUAGGGGAGACUGGAAUUCCUGGUGUAGCGGUGGAAUGCGCAGAUAUCAGGAGGAACACCGAUGGCGAAGGCAGGUCUCUGGGCCGCAACUGACGCUGAGGAGCGAAAGCAUGGGGAGCGAACAGGAUUAGAGACCCCUGUAGUCCCUGUCUCUUAUACA